RNAcentral lists this ribosomal RNA (1959 nucleotides) under Vibrio cholerae. Its description in RNAcentral is "bacterial LSU rRNA". It matches the Rfam family "Bacterial large subunit ribosomal RNA", at positions 1 to 1995 of the family's 2925-position model. The record is from RNAcentral. Lineage: Bacteria; Pseudomonadati; Pseudomonadota; Gammaproteobacteria; Vibrionales; Vibrionaceae.
GUUGUAUGGUUAAGUGACUAAGCGUACACGGUGGAUGCCUGGGCAGUCAGAGGCGAUGAAGGACGUACUAACUUGCGAUAAGCGCAGAUAAGGCAGUAAGAGCCGUUUGAGUCUGCGAUUUCCGAAUGGGGAAACCCAACUGCAUAAGCAGUUACUGUUAACUGAAUACAUAGGUUAACAGAGCAAACCGGGGGAACUGAAACAUCUAAGUACCCCGAGGAGAAGAAAUCAACCGAGAUUCCGGUAGUAGCGGCGAGCGAACCUGGAUUAGCCCUUAAGCACUCGGUGAAGUAGGUGAACAAGCUGGAAAGCUUGGCGAUACAGGGUGAUAGCCCCGUAACCGACGCUUCAUCGAGCGUGAAAUCGAGUAGGGCGGGACACGUGAUAUCCUGUCUGAAUAUGGGGGGACCAUCCUCCAAGGCUAAAUACUCCUGACUGACCGAUAGUGAACCAGUACCGUGAGGGAAAGGCGAAAAGAACCCCUGUGAGGGGAGUGAAAUAGAACCUGAAACCGUGUACGUACAAGCAGUAGGAGCACCUUCGUGGUGUGACUGCGUACCUUUUGUAUAAUGGGUCAGCGACUUAUAUUCAGUGGCAAGGUUAACCGUAUAGGGGAGCCGUAGCGAAAGCGAGUCUUAACUGGGCGCUCAGUCUCUGGAUAUAGACCCGAAACCGGGUGAUCUAGCCAUGGGCAGGUUGAAGGUUGAGUAACAUCAACUGGAGGACCGAACCGACUAAUGUUGAAAAAUUAGCGGAUGACUUGUGGCUAGGGGUGAAAGGCCAAUCAAACUCGGAGAUAGCUGGUUCUCCCCGAAAGCUAUUUAGGUAGCGCCUCGGACGAAUACUACUGGGGGUAGAGCACUGUUAAGGCUAGGGGGUCAUCCCGACUUACCAACCCUUUGCAAACUCCGAAUACCAGUAAGUACUAUCCGGGAGACACACGGCGGGUGCUAACGUCCGUCGUGGAGAGGGAAACAACCCAGACCGCCAGCUAAGGUCCCAAAGUAUUGCUAAGUGGGAAACGAUGUGGGAAGGCUCAGACAGCUAGGAUGUUGGCUUAGAAGCAGCCAUCAUUUAAAGAAAGCGUAAUAGCUCACUAGUCGAGUCGGCCUGCGCGGAAGAUGUAACGGGGCUAAGCAAUACACCGAAGCUGCGGCAAUGUCUUUUAGACAUUGGGUAGGGGAGCGUUCUGUAAGCCGUUGAAGGUGAAUCGUAAGGUUUGCUGGAGGUAUCAGAAGUGCGAAUGCUGACAUGAGUAACGACAAAGGGGGUGAAAAACCUCCUCGCCGGAAGACCAAGGGUUCCUGUCCAACGUUAAUCGGGGCAGGGUGAGUCGACCCCUAAGGUGAGGCCGAAAGGCGUAAUCGAUGGGAAACGGGUUAAUAUUCCCGUACUUCUGACUAUUGCGAUGGGGGGACGGAGAAGGCUAGGUGGGCCAGGCGACGGUUGUCCUGGUUCAAGUGCGUAGGCUUGAGAGUUAGGUAAAUCCGGCUCUCUCUAAGGCUGAGACACGACGUCGAGCUACUACGGUAGUGAAGUCAUUGAUGCCAUGCUUCCAGGAAAAGCCUCUAAGCUUCAGAUAGUCAGGAAUCGUACCCCAAACCGACACAGGUGGUCGGGUAGAGAAUACCAAGGCGCUUGAGAGAACUCGGGUGAAGGAACUAGGCAAAAUGGUACCGUAACUUCGGGAGAAGGUACGCUCUUGAUGGUGAAGUCCCUCGCGGAUGGAGCUGACGAGAGUCGCAGAUACCAGGUGGCUGCAACUGUUUAUUAAAAACACAGCACUGUGCAAAAUCGCAAGAUGACGUAUACGGUGUGACGCCUGCCCGGUGCCGGAAGGUUAAUUGAUGGGGUUAGCGCAAGCGAAGCUCUUGAUCGAAGCCCCGGUAAACGGCGGCCGUAACUAUAACGGUCCUAAGGUAGCGAAAUUCCUUGUCGGGUAAGUUCCGACCUGCACGA